GAUGAACGCUGGCGGCGUGCCUAAUACAUGCAAGUCGAGCGAACAGACGAGGAGCUUGCUCCUCUGACGUUAGCGGCGGACGGGUGAAUAACACGUGGAUAACCUACCUAUAAGACUGGGAUAACUUCGGGAAACCGGAGCUAAUACCGGAUAAUAUAUUGAACCGCAUGGUUCAAUAGUGAAAGACGGUUUUGCUGUCACUUAUAGAUGGAUCCGCGCCGCAUUAGCUAGUUGGUAAGGUAACGGCUUACCAAGGCAACGAUGCGUAGCCGACCUGAGAGGGUGGUCGGCCACAAUGGAACUGAGGAGCGGUCCAGACUCCUACGGGAGGCAGCAGUAGGGGAUCUUCCGCAAUGGGCGAAAGCCUGACGGAGCAACGCCGCGUGAGUGAUGAAGGUCUUCGGAUCGUAAAAAUCUGUUAUUAGGGAAGAACAAAUGUGUAAGUAACUAUGCACGUCUUGACGGUACCUAAUCAGAAAGCCACGGCUAACUACGUG
RNAcentral lists this ribosomal RNA (497 nucleotides) under uncultured bacterium. RNAcentral's name for it is "partial 16S ribosomal RNA". It matches the Rfam family "Bacterial small subunit ribosomal RNA", at positions 28 to 507 of the family's 1533-position model. The record is from RNAcentral.